Pezoporus occidentalis (night parrot) is the source of this 2119-nucleotide long non-coding RNA. RefSeq lists it as uncharacterized. The transcript has 2 exons. The record is from RefSeq and is a predicted model, not a curated record. Lineage: Eukaryota; Metazoa; Chordata; Aves; Psittaciformes; Psittacidae.
AUCCCUUUUUCUUGCUCUUAAUAUUUCUUUCAUUUUCUCAGAAUACCUGUAUUUCCAAAAUUAAUAAAGAAAAAACAUGCUGACUUACACUUCUGUAGUUACCCACCCAUGACUGAGGCCCCAAAGAUAGCAAAUGUUCCACUUGGUUUUAUCAUUCUGCUUAUCAUGGUGAUGUCAGAAUCUGUUUUCCUUCAGAACAUUACCAACUUGAUAAGUAUUCAGACUAAGCUUGCGAUUACUAUCAAAUGUUAACAGGCUGAACAUAGCUUCCAGUUUAAUUAAUAAUUUAAUGCUCUCAUUUUUUCAAUGGCUAAUGUCAUAAGAUAGCCCCUUUAGAUUAAAAAUCAUAUCCUUAUGAAUCUUGGUUUUAUUUCAAGAUAUGAGAGAGUUCAGAGUAGAUGAGGGUGAGAAAGCCAGAGGUUUCUCUCAAGCUCAGAUACAAAGCUGUCCAGCUGUGCUUCAGCUGUUGUUCUUGAUAGGCUUUUUUGAUGUUACUUUUCAUAUUUAGUUUACGAUCUUUCCUUGGCUUAAAUUAUUACGUACAGUUGAACAAGAUUGGCAUUUUCACAUAGUAUGGAGUGUUAAUUUGGUGGAAUAAAAGCCAUUUAAAACAGUAAACUAAACUCUUUCUGAAACUAGUCUUGCUGCCUGGUGGAUGCUUGGAGGCGGAACAAGGGUGUGAGGGACAAGGAACAGAGUUGUUCCUCAUUGUCCCUUCAUUGCAUCUUUCUUGAGGAGAGGAAGAAAAAGGUGUGCAGGACUCAGUGUCCUGGGUUGGAAACUAUGCAGAUAGUCUGGAUACAGUCCAGUGCUGUUGGAUGUGAAAAAAGGAAGUUUUAAGGUGCCAAAGGAAGAGAGAUUUAGUCUUGGCUUUUAGAAUAGUGAAAAUCCUUGCAUGGCCAACUCGUUUGAAGAUACUAAUUGCUUAGGAGGUAGCUCUCCUGGCUGUUCACCCAGCAGACCCAGGGUUUUGUCCUAAUGAUAAGCAGAGUGAACUUGUCCUUCAAUACUAGCUCAUGUAAAUCUGUCUAGCACUGUGUACACCUCUCUAGCACUGUGUACACCUCUCUAGCACUAUGUACAGCCCUCUGCAUGAGGUCCCCUAUUCAAAAGCUUUCUGUGUUCCUUGCCUUGAUAACAUUUACCAUGUACAAGGUAAUGUUAGCUUAAUGCAGAGUUGCUGUUUAAAGUCAGUUUUAUAUAUAUAUUUGUACUGAGAUAAUUUCAGCCAAUAUAGUCUUAAAGCAUGGGUUUGUGCUUUCCUUUGUUUAUGUAACCAUCUCUCAUCGCCCAGAAACUAGCUUUUACUGGCUCCAUUCAAUACUCAUCCAUUUCAGUUGUUCACAUCCUAGUUAGAAUUUUAUUUGUCUUGCAGGUCUAGGCUUGCAGUUACAAACUAUUGAUGGGCUUCUGACAGGGUUGUCAUUUGGAGAAGGUUUAGGGUUUUGAUCAGUAUUUUUUGCAUGCUUGGUUAGUAUGGUGUUUGGAUUCAGUUAUUUUGCUCACAGUCUUUUUCAUCGUGCUCCAUAUUCUAUGUUGUCAUUGGAGUGGUGUGAGUUGUGACACUCCAGAGUUUGUCCAUCAUUUGUGAUUUUUUUCAGAUGGCUACUGGAUCUGUCAUCAUUGGAAUAUUACUUGGCAUCUGCUUAGGACAAGUCCUGUUUUUCAGUUUGUUUAAUUUUUCUCUAAUAGAUUUUAAUUUUUUUAAAUUAUGCAUGUGCAUAAAACAGUCUUCCUUUGAUUUUUCUUAGUUGCUUCCCCCAUCCUUCUUUUGGUUUCCUUUACCUGGUAUUUUCUCUUAGCUACAGAUUGGAAAGCAUGUUCCCAAAGCUCUGUUUGAUUGAAUGUUUUGCUCUUGGCAGGUUGUGUGACUUGUUUGAGGAUAAACACUUAUUUUUGCAAGGUAUCACAAGGUAGUUUAUAGCUUGCUUUUUAUCACAUUCAGGGGGAAAAGUUAGUAUUAGGUUUGUUUAAGCAUUGAGGACUGUUCUGAAUGGGAAUGGUGGACCAUAGUCCCUGAGACCAAACAUAAUGUUUAGUUUGCUUUGGCUACAGGCUUUUCUUGUCAGUUAUGCUUAAAAAUGCUGCUUCUUAGAAGAAAGCUUUAAAAAAAAAUAAA